Myotis brandtii (Brandt's bat) is the source of this 525-nucleotide long non-coding RNA. RefSeq lists it as uncharacterized. The record is from RefSeq and is a predicted model, not a curated record. Lineage: Eukaryota; Metazoa; Chordata; Mammalia; Chiroptera; Vespertilionidae. The transcript has 2 exons.
CCCCACCUGCCCGGCCUCCAUCCCCACUGCGUGGCUCUGAAGUUUCCCCGCGGUCCUGCUCGGACAGAGCGUCCGAGGAGAUGAACUGCUGCGGGAGGGAGUGGAGUGUUGCUCUGGCACCGAGACCAGGAACUCCUGGGAGAAUGAGCAUCCUGCACCGCUUGCCUGCCGACUGCUUGCCGGCUUCAGUAGCAGGAGCCUCCGGGAUGCUUCUGAAAAUAGAUGCUGCUGUCCGCUUCACGUACAGAUCUGUUGGAUUUCGGGCGAUUAUGAAUGACCGCCAGUCCUCAAGAGUUUCCUGCUGAAAACUGGGUUCCCGUCCCACUCAGCAAGUUGCAGUUUAUCGUCAGAGGCAAUGAGUUCAACCCCAAAGUCAUCGCGAGAUGUUAAGUCAAACCGCAAACUUUCUUGUUUCUUAAGCUCAAUUUGCUCCUCUUUUACAUGGCUACUCAGUAGGGUGUCUCGAUGGAUUUUUCAUUAAAGCCAAGGUGCCCACAUCCAGGGAAUUUACCCUAAUUAACUCCA